This 251-nucleotide ribosomal RNA is filed under the name uncultured bacterium. RNAcentral's name for it is "partial 16S ribosomal RNA". It matches the Rfam family "Bacterial small subunit ribosomal RNA", at positions 524 to 775 of the family's 1533-position model. The record is from RNAcentral.
UACGUAGGUGGCAAGCGUUGUUCGGAAUUACUGGGUGUAAAGGGAGCGUAGGCGGGAGCACAAGUUGAAUGUAUAAACUACCGGCUUAACCGAUAGAAGCGUUCAAAACUGUGUUUCUUGAGUGAAGUAGAGGCAGGCGGAAUUCCUAGUGUAGCGGUGAAAUGCGUAGAUAUUAGGAGGAACACCAGUGGCGAAGGCGGCCUGCUGGGCUUUAACUGACGCUGAGGCUCGAAAGCGUGGGUAGCAAACAG